This 957-nucleotide long non-coding RNA is filed under the name Homo sapiens (human). RNAcentral describes it as "HSALNT0170624". The record is from RNAcentral. Lineage: Eukaryota; Metazoa; Chordata; Mammalia; Primates; Hominidae.
AGGGCUUCCCAGACCCCAGGACACAAGAUCAGGGGUUUCUGGGCCUCGGGGCCAGGCAGGAAAGCUAGCAGGCUCCUCUGCUCACCAGUCCGGCAUUUGCACAACACUGAGACUGACAGCUUGGGUUGCUGAUAAAUGUGUUUACUCACAGGCCAGACCUGCACAGCCUGCAGACAAGGAGGAAGCGGUUUGUGGCUGGAGAGUUGGACACCCCCACCCCCACUCGGCGGUGCUCUCAGUGAGGCAGCCCCGGGUGAGAGCUGCCCACAACCCUUGUUCCCCGCAGGAUCCUGUUCUAGCUAUCCUUUCUCCCAACCUCGCCUCCAGGGCCCUUCCUCACUGCCCAAGGGGGCCGAGGUGCUGAGAGCUGAAGGUGACAACAAUACACAUGCAGGUCAGCAGGAAGGGGCAGCUUGGCCAGAAUGUAACCAGAGCAGACCAACCUGGCCGGGCAGCCCUGAGGCUCCCAGGGCCCUGUCACACUGGGGAUGGCGGUGCUGCCCACUGUAGCCCUGGAGGCGGGUGAGUCCUCAGGAGAAGGAACGGGGCUGCCUCUGGGGCCAAAGCAAACCCGACACCCGAUGCCCGGUGGGUUUCCACAACUCCCUGACCGUUUCCAGAGGCUUGUCCCGGUUCCGACAGACCUCAGGAAGCCCGGCCCCAGCUCACCCGGAAAGAUGUGGACACCAGGCCUGGAUCUUACCCCACAUGCAUCUUUGCUUGCUCCUGGCUUAAACACCAUGUAUUUCCACUUUGAGGCCAAAAACACCCAAAAAGGUGAUAGUGUAAUUUCAAAAAGCAAACAGAUUAGCAAAUCCAGGGAGACAUCCACCCUGCCUGGGCAGCUUCUAUAAAACGAAACCCAGCGCCUUGAGAAACAAAGUGAGCUGAGUCAAUCAUUCCUGCUUUAUAUUUAAACUGCAAAGACAGAACACAGAGCAUUCGAUUUGAAAAUUC